This 443-nucleotide ribosomal RNA is filed under the name uncultured bacterium. RNAcentral's name for it is "partial 16S ribosomal RNA". It matches the Rfam family "Bacterial small subunit ribosomal RNA", at positions 338 to 795 of the family's 1533-position model. The record is from RNAcentral.
CCUACGGGUGGCAGCAGUGGGGAAUAUUGGGCAAUGGGCGCAAGCCUUACCCAGCAAUACCGCGUGAGUGAAGAAGGUCUUCGGAUUGUAAAGCUCUUUGAUCAGGGACGAACAGAUGACGGUACCUGAAGAACAAGCCCCGGCUAACUACGUGCCAGCAGCCGCGGUAAAACGUAGGGGGCGAGCGUUGUCCGGAAUGACUGGGCGUAAAGGGUGCGUAGGCGGCAUAAUAAGUUAGAAGUGAAAUACCCAGAGCUUAACUCGGGUGCUGCUUCUAAGACUGUUGAGCUUGAGUGCGGGAGAGGUUAAUGGAAUUCCUAGUGUAGCGGUGGAAUGCGUAGAUAUUAGGAGGAACACCAGAGGCGAAGGCGAUUAACUGGACCGUAACUGACGCUGAGGCACGAAAGUGUGGGUAGCAAACAGGAUUAGAUACCCUUGUAGUC